Molecule: ribosomal RNA, 253 nt
Filed under: uncultured bacterium
Lineage: Bacteria
Description: partial 16S ribosomal RNA
Rfam family: Bacterial small subunit ribosomal RNA
Source: RNAcentral
UACAGAGGGGGCAAGCGUUGUUCGGAAUUACUGGGCGUAAAGGGCGCGUAGGCGGCCUUCUAAGUCGAACGUGAAAUCCCCGGGCUCAACCCGGGAACUGCGUCCGAUACUGGAAGGCUUGAAUCCGGGAGAGGGAUGCGGAAUUCCAGGUGUAGCGGUGAAAUGCGUAGAUAUCAGAAGGAACAUCAGUGGCGAAGGCGGCUUCCUGGACCAAUACUGACGAUCAGGUGCGAAAGCGUGGGGAGCAAACAGG